GCUUCCGUAGGAGUCCGGGCAGAGUCUACCUGUAAUUGGAGUCAUGGGUGGAGUCCGGCUCCCGUAGGAGUCCGGACGAAGUCUGCCUGCAGCAGGAGUCGGGGAUGAGGUCCGGCUCCCGUAGGAGUCCGGGCAGGGUCUACCUGCAAUCAAAGUCAGGGGCGAAGUCCGGCUCCCUUAGGAGUCCGGAUGGAGUCUACCAGCAGUCGAGGUCGGGGAUGGGGUCCAGCUCUUGUAGGAGUCCGGGCGAAGCCUUCAAGCAGUUGAGAUCGGGGAUGAAGUCCGAACGGAGUCCUCCUGCGGCCGGAGUCGGAGACGAGAUCCGACUCCCGUAGGGGUCCGGGCUGAGUCUUCCUGCAAUUGGAGUUGUGAGUGAAGUCCGACUCCCGUAGGAGUCCGGACGAAGUUUACCUGUAAGUGAAGUCGUGGGUGGAGCCCGGCUCCCGUAGCCUGUAAGUGAAGUCAUGGGCGGAGCCUGGCUCCCGUAGGAGUCCGGGCGAAGUCCGCCUGCAGCAGGAGUCGGGGACGAGGUCCGGCUCCCGUAGGAGUCCGGAUGGAGUCUACCUGCAAUCAAAGUCAGGGAUGAAGUUCGGCUCCCUUAGGAGUCCGGACGAAGUUUACCA
Molecule: long non-coding RNA, 623 nt
Filed under: Elaeis guineensis (African oil palm)
Lineage: Eukaryota; Viridiplantae; Streptophyta; Magnoliopsida; Arecales; Arecaceae
Description: long non-coding RNA (EGUI_LNC037680)
Source: RNAcentral